Molecule: long non-coding RNA, 964 nt
Organism: Glycine soja
Lineage: Eukaryota; Viridiplantae; Streptophyta; Magnoliopsida; Fabales; Fabaceae
Exons: 3
Source: RefSeq, a predicted model, not a curated record
UAAAACAGACUAUAACUAUCGUAUGAAAAAUUGCCCAUGAUUUUUCUUCUAUUGUCAAAUCUACAGUGUUUUUCUUUUCUCUCUCACACGAAACCCUCUCCCUCCCUUUCCCUCAGAUUUCUCACUUCCUUUUCUCCUUUCCAUUUCUCACCUUCUCCCCCUCUCUUCAUCUCUUCUCUACCCCUUUUUUGGUUUUCCUUACUCUUACGAAUCAAAACCCGCAACUUUGGACGUCGUUGGAGGGCUUUCGUCGCUACCCACCAUAACUGACGAGGGGUGACCACUGGUAGCAAGGUGUAUUAGGUCCAAUUCAUAGUACCUGAAAGCACACUUUACUCAAAUUGGGAGGAGGUGUUAGUAGUAGGCAUGAUCGGUCCAGGGGCUGUAGAAAUAUUAGUGAAGGAUUUGAAAGUCUUUGACACAUUUAAUACUUGGUUGCAUUAUGAAUAUGUUGAAGACAAAUUAUAGAAGACAAAGCUAAGCAGCAAUUUUAUAUAUCUACAAGCAGCAAGGGAAUAUGUUGGAACAAAUGGUGGGCACAUAGGUUUGGAGCUGUUAUGAGCUUAAUUUAUUUGAGGAUGACUUAUAUUUUAACAGUCACAAGCAUUAUAAACAAAAAACGGUCACAAGUAAAACAUAGAAUAAAAGGAAUAUUGAUUCUGUUUGCGUUUUGUUUUGGAUACUGGCUUGACUAGAUAUGUUUUCCUGGUCCGAUGGAAAUUUUUGGAUCGUUGGUUGAUUUGAAGUUAGUAAUAUGCUGAAGCAGGAAGCUACAAGAGGUCUGCAUUUCACGAUAAUAUUUCUUUAUGUACAAGUUGUUUUCUAUUGUUUACUCAGAUUUUUGUACUCUCGCAUCUGUACUCUGGCUUGGUUUUUUGCACUUGUGCUAAAACUGAGUUUGUCUUUAAUAAAUACAUUCAUUUUGCAUUUUAAUAAAUAAAAAAAUCUUUUGUCUCUUGCUAUU